UACGGGGUAGGCAGCAGUGAGGAAUAUUGGUCAAUGGGCGAGAGCCUGAACCAGCCAAGUAGCGUGCAGGAUGACUGCCCUAUGGGUUGUAAACUGCUUUUAUAGGGGAAUAAAGUGAGGCACGUGUGCCUUUUUGUAUGUACCCUAUGAAUAAGGACCGGCUAAUUCCGUGCCAGCAGCCGCGGUAAU
RNAcentral lists this ribosomal RNA (189 nucleotides) under uncultured rumen bacterium. RNAcentral's name for it is "partial 16S ribosomal RNA". It matches the Rfam family "Bacterial small subunit ribosomal RNA", at positions 338 to 524 of the family's 1533-position model. The record is from RNAcentral.